Molecule: ribosomal RNA, 253 nt
Filed under: uncultured bacterium
Lineage: Bacteria
Description: partial 16S ribosomal RNA
Rfam family: Bacterial small subunit ribosomal RNA
Source: RNAcentral
AACGUAGGAGACAAGCGUUAUCCGGAGUUACUGGGCGUAAAGGGCGUGUAGGUGGUUUCGUAAGUCUGGCGUGAAAUUUUUCGGCUUAACCGGGAAAGGUCGUCGGAUACUGCGGAGCUAGAGGACGGUAGAGGCGUGUGGAAUUCCGGGUGUAGUGGUGAAAUGCGCAGAUAUCAGGAGGAACACCGGUGGCGAAGGCGGGUCUCUGGGCCGGAACUGACGCUGAGGAGCGAAAGCGUGGGGAGCGAACAGG